This 34-nucleotide transfer RNA is filed under the name Salvelinus alpinus (Arctic char). Its description in RNAcentral is "partial tRNA-Pro". The record is from RNAcentral. RNAcentral also lists the same sequence under 3 other names. Lineage: Eukaryota; Metazoa; Chordata; Actinopteri; Salmoniformes; Salmonidae.
CAGAGGGUAGUUUAAUUUAGAAUCUUAGCUUUGG